AGAGUUUGAUCCUGGCUCAGGACGAACGCUGGCGGCGUGCCUAAUACAUGCAAGUAGAACGCUGAAGUUUGGUGCUUGCACUAGACGGAUGAGUUGCGAACGGGUGAGUAACGCGUAGGUAACCUGCCUCAUAGCGGGGGAUAACUAUUGGAAACGAUAGCUAAUACCGCAUAACAGUAUUUAUCGCAUGGUAGAUGCUUGAAAGGAGCAAUUGCUUCACUAUGAGAUGGACCUGCGUUGUAUUAGCUAGUUGGUGAGGUAACGGCUCACCAAGGCUUCGAUACAUAGCCGACCUGAGAGGGUGAUCGGCCACACUGGGACUGAGACACGGCCCAGACUCCUACGGGAGGCAGCAGUAGGGAAUCUUCGGCAAUGGGGGCAACCCUGACCGAGCAACGCCGCGUGAGUGAAGAAGGUUUUCGGAUCGUAAAGCUCUGUUGUAAGAGAAGAACUGUGAGAAGAGUGGAAAGUUUCUCGCUUGACGGUAUCUUACCAGAAAGGGACGGCUAACUACGUGCCAGCAGCCGCGGUAAUACGUAGGUCCCGAGCGUUGUCCGGAUUUAUUGGGCGUAAAGCGAGCGCAGGCGGUUUGAUAAGUCUGAAGUAAAAGGCUGUGGCUUAACCAUAGUACGCUUUGGAAACUGUCAAACUUGAGUGCAGAAGGGGAGAGUGGAAUUCCAUGUGUAGCGGUGAAAUGCGUAGAUAUAUGGAGGAACACCGGUGGCGAAAGCGGCUCUCUGGUCUGUAACUGACGCUGAGGCUCGAAAGCGUGGGGAGCGAACAGGAUUAGAUACCCUGGUAGUCCACGCCGUAAACGAUGAGUGCUAGGUGUUGGGUCCUUUCCGGGACUCAGUGCCGCAGCUAACGCAUUAAGCACUCCGCCUGGGGAGUACGACCGCAAGGUUGAAACUCAAAGGAAUUGACGGGGGCCCGCACAAGCGGUGGAGCAUGUGGUUUAAUUCGAAGCAACGCGAAGAACCUUACCAGGUCUUGACAUCCCGAUGACCGCCCUAGAGAUAGGGUUUCUCUUCGGAGCAUCGGUGACAGGUGGUGCAUGGUUGUCGUCAGCUCGUGUCGUGAGAUGUUGGGUUAAGUCCCGCAACGAGCGCAACCCCUAUUGUUAGUUGCCAUCAUUCAGUUGGGCACUCUAGCGAGACUGCCGGUAAUAAACCGGAGGAAGGUGGGGAUGACGUCAAAUCAUCAUGCCCCUUAUGACCUGGGCUACACACGUGCUACAAUGGCUGGUACAACGAGUCGCAAGUCGGUGACGGCAAGCUAAUCUCUUAAAGCCAGUCUCAGUUCGGAUUGUAGGCUGCAACUCGCCUACAUGAAGUCGGAAUCGCUAGUAAUCGCGGAUCAGCACGCCGCGGUGAAUACGUUCCCGGGCCUUGUACACACCGCCCGUCACACCACGAGAGUUUGUAACACCCGAAGUCGGUGAGGUAACCUUUAAGGAGCCAGCCGCCUAAGGUGGGAUAGAUGAUUGGGGUGAAGUCGUAACAAGGUAGCCGUAUCGGAAGGUGCGGCUG
This 1529-nucleotide ribosomal RNA is filed under the name Streptococcus suis 88-5299A. RNAcentral describes it as "bacterial SSU rRNA". It matches the Rfam family "Bacterial small subunit ribosomal RNA". The record is from RNAcentral. Lineage: Bacteria; Bacillati; Bacillota; Bacilli; Lactobacillales; Streptococcaceae.